RNAcentral lists this ribosomal RNA (253 nucleotides) under uncultured bacterium. RNAcentral's name for it is "partial 16S ribosomal RNA". It matches the Rfam family "Bacterial small subunit ribosomal RNA", at positions 524 to 776 of the family's 1533-position model. The record is from RNAcentral.
UACGUAGGGGGCUAGCGUUGUCCGGAUUUAUUGGGCGUAAAGAGCGUGUAGGCGGCCUGGUAGGUCAGCUGUGAAAACCCGAGGCUCAACCUCGAGACGCCGGUUGAAACCAUCAGGCUAGAGUCCGGAAGAGGAGAGUGGAAUUCCAGGUGUAGCGGUGAAAUGCGCAGAUAUCUGGAAGAACACCCGUGGCUAAGGCGGCUCUCUAGUACGGUACUGACGCUGAGACGCGAAAGCGUGGGGAGCGAACAGG